UCCUACGGGGGGCAGCAGUAGGGAAUUUUCGUCAAUGGGCGCAAGCCUGAGCGAGCAAUGCCGCGUGAACGAGGAAGGUCUUCGGAUCGUAAAGUUCUGUUGAAGGGGAAAAAGAGCGGAGAGAGGAAAUGGUCUCCGAUUGAUAUUACCCUUCGAGGAAGUCACGGCUAACUACGUGCCAGCAGCCGCGGUAAUACGUAGGUGGCGAGCGUUAUCCGGAAUGAUUGGGCGUAAAGGGUGCGUAGGCGGCAUGCUAAGUCUGGAGUGAAAGGUACCGGCUCAACCGGUACAGGCUCUGGAAACUG
This 305-nucleotide ribosomal RNA is filed under the name uncultured bacterium. RNAcentral describes it as "bacterial SSU rRNA". It matches the Rfam family "Bacterial small subunit ribosomal RNA", at positions 337 to 635 of the family's 1533-position model. The record is from RNAcentral.